UCAUCGGUGUUCCGGUAUCCUGGACUAUCGUCGCUCGAGCGAACGGCAAACGGUAGCAAACGGUCCUCUGUCGCCCGGUUAAUCCUCCGGGGUUGGAAGGAAACGGGGCACGGCGAUACGUCUCACAGCGAUAACGAGGGUCAAGGAGCGGCAUGAAAAACAGACCGAUGGUGUACGGAGGGUUGUCACAGACAGCCGCGCCGGCAGUUUCCGCAAGAAGCAGAACCAGCCGCCUCGUCUUUCAACCGGAGGGAGAACCCGGAGGAACGCCGUUGCACGCAUCUUCGCAUCGACGAGGCAAGAACUAACGCGUCACGACAGACGAGGGUCCUUGGAAGUCGACACCGGGCUACCUUGAGACGCGAAAACCAGCAUCGUGCAGGAAGGGAGAGCGCUUCGUGAAUAUACUCACCGGCAGCCUUGCAUACCGGGUGGAUCUGGAUGGAUUGUUGAUUGGCUAGAAGACGACGCGGUGUAGCCAGUUCGACGAGAGGAGAGAAAGCCUGAGAGGCAUCGAAAUGACAAAUCGAAUCGGGCCGGAGAGAAACGCACCGAAAGAUAAGAAGAUACCAGGACAGGCUGGAUAUAUGUUUGCCGGAGAAGAAUGGAAGUCCCGGGAGUUGGCGCGGCGCGCAGGUAAUGAGGUAUAUUACGACAUGUCGUUGGAUACUUUUAACGUCGCGUCGA
Long non-coding RNA from Frieseomelitta varia, 687 nucleotides. RefSeq lists it as uncharacterized. NCBI's taxonomy places the organism in Eukaryota, Metazoa, Arthropoda, Insecta, Hymenoptera, Apidae. The transcript has 3 exons. The record is from RefSeq and is a predicted model, not a curated record.